Molecule: ribosomal RNA, 362 nt
Filed under: Ensifer meliloti
Lineage: Bacteria; Pseudomonadati; Pseudomonadota; Alphaproteobacteria; Hyphomicrobiales; Rhizobiaceae
Description: Sinorhizobium meliloti bacterial SSU rRNA
Rfam family: Bacterial small subunit ribosomal RNA
Source: RNAcentral
GAAGGGCAGUGGAGACAUUGUCCUUCAGUUAGGCUGGCCCCAGAACAGGUGCUGCAUGGCUGUCGUCAGCUCGUGUCGUGAGAUGUUGGGUUAAGUCCCGCAACGAGCGCAACCCUCGCCCUUAGUUGCCAGCAUUUAGUUGGGCACUCUAAGGGGACUGCCGGUGAUAAGCCGAGAGGAAGGUGGGGAUGACGUCAAGUCCUCAUGGCCCUUACGGGCUGGGCUACACACGUGCUACAAUGGUGGUGACAGUGGGCAGCGAGACAGCGAUGUCGAGCUAAUCUCCAAAAGCCAUCUCAGUUCGGAUUGCACUCUGCAACUCGAGUGCAUGAAGUUGGAAUCGCUAGUAAUCGCAGAUCAGC